This 499-nucleotide ribosomal RNA is filed under the name uncultured bacterium. Its description in RNAcentral is "partial 16S ribosomal RNA". It matches the Rfam family "Bacterial small subunit ribosomal RNA", at positions 28 to 507 of the family's 1533-position model. The record is from RNAcentral.
GAUGAACGCUGGCGGCGUGCCUAAUACAUGCAAGUCGAGCGAACAGACGAGAGUGCUUGCACUCUCUGACGUUAGCGGCGGACGGGUGAGUAACACGUGGGUAACCUACCUAUAAGACUGGGAUAACUUCGGGAAACCGGAGCUAAUACCGGAUAAUAUUUAGCUUCGCAUGAAGCAAUAGUGAAAGACGGUUCUGCUGUCACUUAUAGAUGGACCCGCGGUGUAUUAGCUAGUUGGUGAGGUAACGGCUCACCAAGGCAACGAUACAUAGCCGACCUGAGAGGGUGAUCGGCCACACUGGGACUGAGACACGGCCCAGACUCCUACGGGAGGCAGCAGUAGGGAAUCUUCCGCAAUGGACGAAAGUCUGACGGAGCAAUGCCGCGUGAGUGAAGAAGGUUUUCGGAUCGUAAAACUCUGUUGUAAGGGAAGAACAAGUACGUUAGUAACUGAACGUACCUUGACGGUACCUUACCAGAAAGCCACGGCUAACUACAUG